RNAcentral lists this transfer RNA (110 nucleotides) under Actinomycetota bacterium. RNAcentral's name for it is "Actinobacteria bacterium (freshwater metagenome) tRNA-Ser". The record is from RNAcentral. Lineage: Bacteria; Bacillati; Actinomycetota.
UCGCCCGUUAUUCGGUAACUUUCCGAACGGUUCGCAGUAUCCGCCAAAUACGUGAUUAGCGGUUUCCUAAACCGCAGGUCGUAGGUUCGAUUCCUACCCGGGGCGACCCA